GGUUAAGCGACUAAGCGUACACGGUGGAUGCCCUGGCAGUCAGAGGCGAUGAAGGACGUGCUAAUCUGCGAUAAGCGUCGGUAAGGUGAUAUGAACCGUUAUAACCGGCGAUUUCCGAAUGGGGAAACCCAGUGUGUUUCGACACACUAUCAUUAACUGAAUCCAUAGGUUAAUGAGGCGAACCGGGGGAACUGAAACAUCUAAGUACCCCGAGGAAAAGAAAUCAACCGAGAUUCCCCCAGUAGCGGCGAGCGAACGGGGAGCAGCCCAGAGCCUGAAUCAGUGUGUGUGUUAGUGGAAGCGUCUGGAAAGGCGCGCGAUACAGGGUGACAGCCCCGUACACAAAAAUGCACAUGCUGUGAGCUCGAUGAGUAGGGCGGGACACGUGGUAUCCUGUCUGAAUAUGGGGGGACCAUCCUCCAAGGCUAAAUACUCCUGACUGACCGAUAGUGAACCAGUACCGUGAGGGAAAGGCGAAAAGAACCCCGGCGAGGGGAGUGAAAAAGAACCUGAAACCGUGUACGUACAAGCAGUGGGAGCACGCUUAGGCGUGUGACUGCGUACCUUUUGUAUAAUGGGUCAGCGACUUAUAUUCUGUAGCAAGGUUAACCGAAUAGGGGAGCCGAAGGGAAACCGAGUCUUAACUGGGCGUUAAGUUGCAGGGUAUAGACCCGAAACCCGGUGAUCUAGCCAUGGGCAGGUUGAAGGUUGGGUAACACUAACUGGAGGACCGAACCGACUAAUGUUGAAAAAUUAGCGGAUGACUUGUGGCUGGGGGUGAAAGGCCAAUCAAACCGGGAGAUAGCUGGUUCUCCCCGAAAGCUAUUUAGGUAGCGCCUCGUGAAUUCAUCUCCGGGGGUAGAGCACUGUUUCGGCAAGGGGGUCAUCCCGACUUACCAACCCGAUGCAAACUGCGAAUACCGGAGAAUGUUAUCACGGGAGACACACGGCGGGUGCUAACGUCCGUCGUGAAGAGGGAAACAACCCAGACCGCCAGCUAAGGUCCCAAAGUCAUGGUUAAGUGGGAAACGAUGUGGGAAGGCCCAGACAGCCAGGAUGUUGGCUUAGAAGCAGCCAUCAUUUAAAGAAAGCGUAAUAGCUCACUGGUCGAGUCGGCCUGCGCGGAAGAUGUAACGGGGCUAAACCAUGCACCGAAGCUGCGGCAGCGACACUAUGUGUUGUUGGGUAGGGGAGCGUUCUGUAAGCCUGUGAAGGUGUGCUGUGAGGCAUGCUGGAGGUAUCAGAAGUGCGAAUGCUGACAUAAGUAACGAUAAAGCGGGUGAAAAGCCCGCUCGCCGGAAGACCAAGGGUUCCUGUCCAACGUUAAUCGGGGCAGGGUGAGUCGACCCCUAAGGCGAGGCCGAAAGGCGUAGUCGAUGGGAAACAGGUUAAUAUUCCUGUACUUGGUGUUACUGCGAAGGGGGGACGGAGAAGGCUAUGUUGGCCGGGCGACGGUUGUCCCGGUUUAAGCGUGUAGGCUGGUUUUCCAGGCAAAUCCGGAAAAUCAAGGCUGAGGCGUGAUGACGAGGCACUACGGUGCUGAAGCAACAAAUGCCCUGCUUCCAGGAAAAGCCUCUAAGCAUCAGGUAACAUCAAAUCGUACCCCAAACCGACACAGGUGGUCAGGUAGAGAAUACCAAGGCGCUUGAGAGAACUCGGGUGAAGGAACUAGGCAAAAUGGUGCCGUAACUUCGGGAGAAGGCACGCUGAUAUGUAGGUGAGGUCCCUCGCGGAUGGAGCUGAAAUCAGUCGAAGAUACCAGCUGGCUGCAACUGUUUAUUAAAAACACAGCACUGUGCAAACACGAAAGUGGACGUAUACGGUGUGACGCCUGCCCGGUGCCGGAAGGUUAAUUGAUGGGGUUAGCCGCAAGGCGAAGCUCUUGAUCGAAGCCCCGGUAAACGGCGGCCGUAACUAUAACGGUCCUAAGGUAGCGAAAUUCCUUGUCGGGUAAGUUCCGACCUGCACGAAUGGCGUAAUGAUGGCCAGGCUGUCUCCACCCGAGACUCAGUGAAAUUGAACUCGCUGUGAAGAUGCAGUGUACCCGCGGCAAGACGGAAAGACCCCGUGAACCUUUACUAUAGCUUGACACUGAACAUUGAGCCUUGAUGUGUAGGAUAGGUGGGAGGCUUUGAAGUGUGGACGCCAGUCUGCAUGGAGCCGACCUUGAAAUACCACCCUUUAAUGUUUGAUGUUCUAACGUUGACCCGUGAUCCGGGUUGCGGACAGUGUCUGGUGGGUAGUUUGACUGGGGCGGUCUCCUCCUAAAGAGUAACGGAGGAGCACGAAGGUUGGCUAAUCCUGGUCGGACAUCAGGAGGUUAGUGCAAUGGCAUAAGCCAGCUUGACUGCGAGCGUGACGGCGCGAGCAGGUGCGAAAGCAGGUCAUAGUGAUCCGGUGGUUCUGAAUGGAAGGGCCAUCGCUCAACGGAUAAAAGGUACUCCGGGGAUAACAGGCUGAUACCGCCCAAGAGUUCAUAUCGACGGCGGUGUUUGGCACCUCGAUGUCGGCUCAUCACAUCCUGGGGCUGAAGUAGGUCCCAAGGGUAUGGCUGUUCGCCAUUUAAAGUGGUACGCGAGCUGGGUUUAGAACGUCGUGAGACAGUUCGGUCCCUAUCUGCCGUGGGCGCUGGAGAACUGAGGGGGGCUGCUCCUAGUACGAGAGGACCGGAGUGGACGCAUCACUGGUGUUCGGGUUGUCAUGCCAAUGGCACUGCCCGGUAGCUAAAUGCGGAAGAGAUAAGUGCUGAAAGCAUCUAAGCACGAAACUUGCCCCGAGAUGAGUUCUCCCUGACCCUUUAAGGGUCCUGAAGGAACGUUGAAGACGACGACGUUGAUAGGCCGGGUGUGUAAGCGCAGCGAUGCGUUGAGCUAACCGGUACUAAUGAACCGUGAGGCUUAACCUU
This 2905-nucleotide ribosomal RNA is filed under the name Escherichia coli. Its description in RNAcentral is "23S ribosomal RNA". It matches the Rfam family "Bacterial large subunit ribosomal RNA". Lineage: Bacteria; Pseudomonadati; Pseudomonadota; Gammaproteobacteria; Enterobacterales; Enterobacteriaceae. The record is from RNAcentral.